Molecule: ribosomal RNA, 406 nt
Filed under: uncultured bacterium
Lineage: Bacteria
Description: partial 16S ribosomal RNA
Rfam family: Bacterial small subunit ribosomal RNA
Source: RNAcentral
AUUGAACGCUGGCGGCAGGCCUAACACAUGCAAGUCGAACGAGUGGCGGACGGGUGAGUAAUGUAUGGGAAUCUGCCCUAUGGAGGGGGAUAACUACUGGAAACGGUAGCUAAUACCGCAUACCAUCGGAUUAGCCCAAAUGGGAUUAGCUAGUAGGUGGGGUAACGGCUCACCUAGUCGACGAUCCCUAGCUGUUCUGAGAGGAUGACCAGCAACACCGGAACUGAGACACGGUCCAGACUCCUACGUGAGGAAGCAGUGGGGAAUAUUGCCCAAUGGGCGCAAGCCUGAUGCAGCCAUGCCGCGUGUAUGAAGAAGGCCUUAGGGUUGUAAAGUACUUUCAGCGGGGAGGCGUUACUCGCAGAAGAAGCACCGGCUAACUCCGUGCCAGCAGCCGCGGUAAUAC